RNAcentral lists this ribosomal RNA (209 nucleotides) under uncultured bacterium. Its description in RNAcentral is "partial 16S ribosomal RNA". It matches the Rfam family "Bacterial small subunit ribosomal RNA", at positions 1292 to 1500 of the family's 1533-position model. The record is from RNAcentral.
UUCGGAUUGCAGGCUGCAACCCGCCUGCAUGAAGUUGGAAUCGCUAGUAAUCGCGGAUCAGCAUGCCGCGGUGAAUACGUUCCCGGGCCUUGUACACACCGCCCGUCACACCAUGAGAGUCGGGAACACCCGAAGUCCGUAGUCUGACCGCAAGGGGGACGCGGCCGAAGGUGGGUUCGAUAAUUGGGGUGAAGUCGUAACAAGGUAUC